RNAcentral lists this ribosomal RNA (357 nucleotides) under Pseudo-nitzschia fraudulenta. Its description in RNAcentral is "partial Bacterial large subunit ribosomal RNA". It matches the Rfam family "Bacterial large subunit ribosomal RNA", at positions 2074 to 2438 of the family's 2925-position model. The record is from RNAcentral. Lineage: Eukaryota; Bacillariophyta; Bacillariophyceae; Bacillariales; Bacillariaceae.
GACAAGACGGAAAGACCCCAUGAACCUUUACUAUAGCUUCACAUUGGUAUUGGGUAAAUGAUGUGUAGGAUAGGCGGGAGACUCUGAAGCUGCGUCGCUAGGCGUGGUGGAGUCGUUGGUGAAAUACCGCCCUUUAUUUAUCUGAUGCCUAAUCCGCCGGAUGGCGGAGACAGUGUGUGGUGGGUAGUUUGACUGGGGUGGUCGCCUCCUAAAGAGUAACGGAGGCUUCUAAAGGUACCCUCAGCACGCUUGGUAACCGUGCGUAGAGUGCAAUGGCAUAAGGGUGCUUGACUGAGAGACAUACAGGUCGAUCAGGUUGGAAACAAGAGCAUAGUGAUCCGGUGGUUCCGCAUGGAA